RNAcentral lists this long non-coding RNA (329 nucleotides) under Prunus persica (peach). RNAcentral's name for it is "long non-coding RNA (PPER_LNC003109)". Lineage: Eukaryota; Viridiplantae; Streptophyta; Magnoliopsida; Rosales; Rosaceae. The record is from RNAcentral.
AAAAAAAACUGAAACUGGCCUUUUUUUUUCUUUUUUUUUCAACACACUCCAAGUGAAACGACGCCGUUUCACUUGAAGAUUGUUUUUAAAACACUACAAUCAAAACGAUAUCGUUUUAUGACAUUUAACCUAAAAAAAAAAAUCAAAACGAGUUGUCUUCCUCGCACACAAUUUGCAGACUCGCAAAUUUCUUCCAAUUCAAAAGUUUCCAAAUCUGGCACGCCUUGCUCCGCCUCGCUGCUCCUAGCCACGCCUUGCAACGUCUUCUUACGCCUUCCCAGCGCUAAACGUGUAACUUGCGAAACAGCCCACCGCCUCGGGAGUUUUCC